Molecule: ribosomal RNA, 253 nt
Filed under: [Lactobacillus] rogosae
Lineage: Bacteria; Bacillati; Bacillota; Clostridia; Lachnospirales; Lachnospiraceae
Description: Lactobacillus rogosae partial 16S ribosomal RNA
Rfam family: Bacterial small subunit ribosomal RNA
Source: RNAcentral
UACGUAUGGAGCAAGCGUUAUCCGGAUUUACUGGGUGUAAAGGGAGUGUAGGUGGCCAGGCGAGUCAGAAGUGAAAGCCCGGGGCUCAACCCCGGGACUGCUUUUGAAACUGCAGGGCUAGAGUGCAGGAGGGGCAAGUGGAAUUCCUAGUGUAGCGGUGAAAUGCGUAGAUAUUAGGAGGAACACCAGUGGCGAAGGCGGCUUGCUGGACUGUAACUGACACUGAGGCUCGAAAGCGUGGGGAGCAAACAGG